GUCUAUAGCCAUGCUACCUUGAACAUGCCUGAUCUCAUCUGAUCUUGGAAGUUAAGCAGCAUCGGGCCUGGUUAGUACUUGGAUGGGAGACCACCUUGGAAUACUGGGUGCUGUAGGCU
This 119-nucleotide ribosomal RNA is filed under the name Pteropus vampyrus (large flying fox). Lineage: Eukaryota; Metazoa; Chordata; Mammalia; Chiroptera; Pteropodidae. The record is from RNAcentral.